AACAAAGCUUAGCCCGACUUCUAAACUCACGAGCAGAAGCUUCCCUGCAAGAGGACUGGAUAUCUCAGGGGUUGAUGUCCCGUUCCGGGAGCUGUACCCCGGGAGGUCGUGGCGGUUUGAAGACAAAGAAAGAGAACAGCGCACAGCACGUGCAAAGGGAACCGGGGACUAAAAGGGAAGGGUGCGUUCAGAGGGAGGAAAUCUCAGCGGCGUCUACUCGCUCCAGUAUAUUUGGAAAGAUCAGCUCCUCAGCCCGAGGGACGGUUCGUUGACCUGCUGUCAGCCGUGAUACAAAUUCAGAGUCCAACGUCGAUAUGCAUCUCAUCGCCUAUCGAAAGACAGUUUCAGACAUCCAGUUACUUACACCUAAACGAUUUACAAAUAGCUAUUUUCUCUAUUGAAAACUCUCUGUAUUUAAAAUAUAAUAUGCACAGUAAAGAAUAUUUCACAAAAUGUUCACAUUUAAAAUUAAAUUUGAGAACUUUUUUGUUUUCUAUACAAUUAAAUAUUGUGCUUUAACAGUGAGUUCAUUUGCAAUCAGACUGAUUAUUAUAGCUUUACUGUUAUAACGUUAAUAAUAUCUUUUUUCAAUAAAC
This is a long non-coding RNA of Mobula hypostoma (lesser devil ray), 596 nucleotides long. RefSeq lists it as uncharacterized. The record is from RefSeq and is a predicted model, not a curated record. The transcript has 3 exons. Lineage: Eukaryota; Metazoa; Chordata; Chondrichthyes; Myliobatiformes; Myliobatidae.